UUUGCCUACGGGGGGCAGCAGUGGGGAAUAUUGGACAAUGGGGGGAACCCUGAUGCAGCGACGCCGCGUGGGUGAAGAAGCGCCUCGGCGCGUAAAGCCCUGUCAGCAGGGAAGAAAAUGACGGUACCUGAAGAAGAAGCCCCGGCUAACUACGUGCCAGCAGCCGCGGUAAUACGUAGGGGGCAAGCGUUAUCCGGAUUUACUGGGUGUAAAGGGGGCGCAGACGGCGAUGCAAGCCAGGAGUGAAAGCCCGGAGCCCAACCCAGGGACUGCUCUUGGAACUGCGCG
This 288-nucleotide ribosomal RNA is filed under the name uncultured bacterium. RNAcentral's name for it is "partial 16S ribosomal RNA". It matches the Rfam family "Bacterial small subunit ribosomal RNA", at positions 334 to 640 of the family's 1533-position model. The record is from RNAcentral.